This 433-nucleotide ribosomal RNA is filed under the name uncultured bacterium. Its description in RNAcentral is "partial 16S ribosomal RNA". It matches the Rfam family "Bacterial small subunit ribosomal RNA", at positions 29 to 507 of the family's 1533-position model. The record is from RNAcentral.
AGCGAACGCUGGCGGCAGGCCUAACACAUGCAAGUCGAACGAACUCUUCGGAGUUAGUGGCGGACGGGUGAGUAACACGUGGGAACGUGCCUUUUUGUUCGGAAUAACUCAGGGAAACUUGUGCUAAUACCGAAUGUGCCCUUCGGGGGAAAGAUUUAUCGCCAUUUGAGCGGCCCGCGUCUGAUUAGCUAGUUGGUGAGGUAACGGCUCACCAAGGCGACGAUCAGUAGCUGGUCUGAGAGGAUGACCAGCCACACUGGGACUGAGACACGGCCCAGACUCCUACGGGAGGCAGCAGUGGGGAAUCUUGCGCAAUGGGCGAAAGCCUGACGCAGCCAUGCCGCGUGAAUGAUGAAGGUCUUAGGAUUGUAAAAUUCUUUCACCGGGGACGAUAAUGACGGUACCCGGAGAAGAAGCCCCGGCUAACUUCGUG